Molecule: long non-coding RNA, 397 nt
Filed under: Homo sapiens (human)
Lineage: Eukaryota; Metazoa; Chordata; Mammalia; Primates; Hominidae
Description: HSALNT0221497
Source: RNAcentral
GGCAAGUGUCCAAACAGGCUGAAACAAGGCAGACUGAGGUCCAUGCCAGCGUGGAGAUACUGCUGGACACUGCUGUAGCUUCCAGCUGAUGAAUGCAUGCGUGCAUGAAUGCAUACAGACAUGUGAAAAAGAGAGGGCAGGUGGUUCCAUCUUAUGCCAUCUCCAGGUGAUUGAACUGCUGCUUGGGAUGCUAUGCUCAGGCAACUUUCUGAGCCAGAAGUAAGUGUGUUGCAAUUCAUUAGUCGUGUCUCCUGUGGACUUGGGACAGAAGAGUGGCAGAAUAUUUGCUAUUCCAGUUAGCAAAUGGAGGUAGGGAGUUUUUUGGUGUCCUUGGGGCUUGUUUUUAUAUACAGAAGAUAAUUUUGCAUUUACUUCAGUUUUCAAAGUUAAUACAGAU